GACGAACGCUGGCGGCGUGCUUAACACAUGCAAGUCGAACGGUGAUGCUCCAGCUUGCUGGAGUGGAUCAGUGGCGAACGGGUGAGUAACACGUGAGCAACCUGCCCCAGACUCUGGAAUAAGCGCUGGAAACGGCGUCUAAUACUGGAUACGAAACUGGCCCGCAUGGGCAUGGUUUGGAAAGUUUUUCGGUUUGGGAUGGGCUCGCGGCCUAUCAGCUUGUUGGUGAGGUAAUGGCUCACCAAGGCGACGACGGGUAGCCGGCCUGAGAGGGCGACCGGCCACACUGGGACUGAGACACGGCCCAGACUCCUACGGGAGGCAGCAGUGGGGAAUAUUGCACAAUGGGCGAAAGCCUGAUGCAGCGACGCCGCGUGAGGGAUGACGGCCUUCGGGUUGUAAACCUCUUUCAGCAGGGAAGAAGCGAAAGCGACGGUACCUGCAGAAGAAGCACCGGCUAACUACGUG
RNAcentral lists this ribosomal RNA (468 nucleotides) under uncultured bacterium. RNAcentral describes it as "partial 16S ribosomal RNA". It matches the Rfam family "Bacterial small subunit ribosomal RNA", at positions 28 to 507 of the family's 1533-position model. The record is from RNAcentral.